Molecule: ribosomal RNA, 465 nt
Filed under: uncultured bacterium
Lineage: Bacteria
Description: bacterial SSU rRNA
Rfam family: Bacterial small subunit ribosomal RNA
Source: RNAcentral
GGACCCGCACAAGCGGUGGAUUAUGUGGAUUAAUUCGAUGCAACGCGAAAAACCUUACCUACCCUUGACAUGUCCUGAAGCCUGGAGAGAUCCGGGUGUGCCCGAAAGGGAACGGGAACACAGGUGCUGCAUGGCUGUCGUCAGCUCGUGUCGUGAGAUGUUGGGUUAAGUCCCGCAACGAGCGCAACCCUUGCCAUUAGUUGCUACAUUCAGUUGGGCACUCUAAUGGGACUGCCGGUGACAAACCGGAGGAAGGUGGGGAUGACGUCAAGUCCUCAUGGCCCUUAUGGGUAGGGCUUCACACGUAAUACAAUGGUCGGUACAGAGGGUUGCCAAAGCGCGAGCUGGAGCCAAUCCCAGAAAGCCGAUCGUAGUCCGGAUUGCAGUCUGCAACUCGACUGCAUGAAGUCGGAAUCGCUAGUAAUCGCGGAUCAGCAUGUCGCGGUGAAUACGUUCCCGGGUCUU